RNAcentral lists this ribosomal RNA (714 nucleotides) under uncultured bacterium. RNAcentral describes it as "bacterial SSU rRNA". It matches the Rfam family "Bacterial small subunit ribosomal RNA", at positions 65 to 774 of the family's 1533-position model. The record is from RNAcentral.
AGCGGGAAGUAGUUUACUACCUUGCCGGCGAGCGGCGGACGGGUGAGUAAUGUCUGGGAAACUGCCUGAUGGAGGGGGAUAACUACUGGAAACGGUAGCUAAUACCGCAUAACGUCUUCGGACCAAAGUGGGGGACCUUCGGGCCUCACGCCAUCGGAUGUGCCCAGAUGGGAUUAGCUAGUAGGUGGGGUAAUGGCUCACCUAGGCGACGAUCCCUAGCUGGUCUGAGAGGAUGACCAGCCACACUGGAACUGAGACACGGUCCAGACUCCUACGGGAGGCAGCAGUGGGGAAUAUUGCACAAUGGGCGCAAGCCUGAUGCAGCCAUGCCGCGUGUGUGAAGAAGGCCUUCGGGUUGUAAAGCACUUUCAGCGAGGAGGAAGGCCAAUAACUUAAUACGUUGUUGGAUUGACGUUACUCGCAGAAGAAGCACCGGCUAACUCCGUGCCAGCAGCCGCGGUAAUACGGAGGGUGCAAGCGUUAAUCGGAAUUACUGGGCGUAAAGCGCACGCAGGCGGUUUGUUAAGUCAGAUGCGAAAUCCCCGCGCUUAACGUGGGAACUGCAUUUGAAACUGGCAAGCUAGAGUCUUGUAGAGGGGGGUAGAAUUCCAGGUGUAGCGGUGAAAUGCGUAGAGAUCUGGAGGAAUACCGGUGGCGAAGGCGGCCCCCUGGACAAAGACUGACGCUCAGGUGCGAAAGCGUGGGGAGCAAACA